GACGAACGCUGGCGGCGUGCUUAACACAUGCAAGUCGAACGAUGAAGCUGGAGCUUGCUCCGGUGGAUUAGUGGCGAACGGGUGAGUAACACGUGAGCAAUCUGCCCUUGACUCUGGGAUAACUGCGGGAAACUGUAGCUAAUACCGGAUACGAGGCUCGAAGGCAUCUUCGGGUCUGGAAGGAAUUUCGGUCAAGGAUGAGCUCGCGGCCUAUCAGCUUGUUGGUAAGGUAAUGGCUCACCAAGGCGACGACGGGUAGCCGGCCUGAGAGGGUGACCGGCCACACUGGGACUGAGACACGGCCCAGACUCCUACGGGAGGCAGCAGUGGGGAAUAUUGCACAAUGGGCGAAAGCCUGAUGCAGCAACGCCGCGUGAGGGAUGAAGGCCUUCGGGUUGUAAACCUCUUUUAGCAGGGAAGAAGCGAAAGUGACGGUACCUGCAGAAAAAGCACCGGCUAACUACGUGCCAGCCGCCGCAGUAA
RNAcentral lists this ribosomal RNA (483 nucleotides) under uncultured bacterium. RNAcentral describes it as "partial 16S ribosomal RNA". It matches the Rfam family "Bacterial small subunit ribosomal RNA", at positions 28 to 523 of the family's 1533-position model. The record is from RNAcentral.